AAAGCACAAAAAAUAGAGUUAUGUUUUAAGUUAAGUUUUGUUUUCAAAUUAUUCAAAAAAGAAGAAAAUGUUCAAACGUAUAUGUUUUAUUUUUAUGUAUAUUUAAUAAAUAAACUAUUGUUUCUUAAUUAUAUUUUUUAAUUAGCUAUUUAACUUUUCUUAAAUGUAUAUUAAUUUAAAAUGAUUAGUUAAAAAAUUUAAUUAUUAUAUUUUAUUUUAUAUAUACCUACAUAUUACCCCACUACUUCCCC
Molecule: long non-coding RNA, 251 nt
Filed under: Solanum tuberosum (potato)
Lineage: Eukaryota; Viridiplantae; Streptophyta; Magnoliopsida; Solanales; Solanaceae
Description: long non-coding RNA (STUB_LNC003646)
Source: RNAcentral